This 604-nucleotide ribosomal RNA is filed under the name uncultured organism. RNAcentral describes it as "bacterial SSU rRNA". It matches the Rfam family "Bacterial small subunit ribosomal RNA", at positions 78 to 679 of the family's 1533-position model. The record is from RNAcentral.
GCUUGCGGGAUACACGAGUGGCGCACGGGUGAGUAACGCGUAUGCAACUUACCAUAAACUGGGGAAUAGCCCGGAGAAAUUUGGAUUAAUACCCCAUAAUGUCGUGAAAAUGCAUAUUUGUAGUGAUUGCCGUUCCGACGGUUUAUGAUGGGCAUGCGUGCCAUUAGUGAGUUGGUAAGGUAACGGCUUACCAAGACAACGAUGGCUACGGGGUCUGAGAGGAUGAUCCCCCACACUGGUACUGAGACACGGACCAGACUCCUACGGGAGGCAGCAAUACGGAAUAUUGGGCAAUGGGCGAAAGCCUGACCCAGCCAUGCCGCGUGCAGGAUGACAGCCUUAUGGGUUGUAAACUGCUUUUAUACGGGAAGAAUCUCUCGAACUUGUUCGGGAUUGACGGUACCGUAAGAAUAACGAUCGGCUAACUCCGUGCCAGCAGCCGCGGUAAUACGGAGGAUCCAAGCGUUAUCCGGAUUUAUUGGGUUUAAAGGGUGCGUAGGUUGAAUGAAAAGUCAAUGGUGAAAGCCUGCAGCUUAACUGUAGAAUUGCCAUUGAUACUGUCAUUCUUGAGUACAAUUGAAGUGGGUGGAAUGUGUUAUGUAGC